GUGCCUAACACAUGCAAGUCGAACGAGAAAGUGGAGCAAUCCACGAGUAAAGUGGCGACCGGGUGAGUAACACGUGACUAACCUGCCUUCGAGUGGGGGAUAACCUCGGGAAACCGGGGCUAAUACCGCAUAAUGCCGAAAGGUUAAAGGAGCAAUUCGCUUGAAGAGGGGGUCGCGGCUGAUUAGCUAGUUGGCGGGGUAACGGCCCACCAAGGCGAUGAUCGGUAGCCGGCCUGAGAGGGCGCACGGCCACACUGGAACUGAAACACGGUCCAG
RNAcentral lists this ribosomal RNA (276 nucleotides) under uncultured bacterium. Its description in RNAcentral is "partial 16S ribosomal RNA". It matches the Rfam family "Bacterial small subunit ribosomal RNA", at positions 44 to 334 of the family's 1533-position model. The record is from RNAcentral.